Molecule: ribosomal RNA, 237 nt
Filed under: uncultured Actinomycetales bacterium
Lineage: Bacteria; Bacillati; Actinomycetota; Actinomycetes; Actinomycetales
Description: partial 16S ribosomal RNA
Rfam family: Bacterial small subunit ribosomal RNA
Source: RNAcentral
GGCGAAUGGGUGAGUAACACGUGAGUAACCUGCCCUUGACUUUGGGAUAACUUCAGGAAACUGGGGCUAAUACCGGAUAGGAGCUCCUGCUGCAUGGUGGGGGUUGGAAAGGUUUCGGCGGUUGGGGAUGGACUCGCGGCUUAUCAGCUUGUUGGUGGGGUAGUGGCUUACCAAGGCUUUGACGGGUAGCCGGCCUGAGAGGGUGACCGGCCACAUUGGGACUGAGAUACGGCCCAG